This 301-nucleotide ribosomal RNA is filed under the name uncultured bacterium. RNAcentral describes it as "partial 16S ribosomal RNA". It matches the Rfam family "Bacterial small subunit ribosomal RNA", at positions 509 to 807 of the family's 1533-position model. The record is from RNAcentral.
CAGCCGCCACGGUAACACGAAGGGGGCUAGCGUUGCUCGGAAUUACUGGGCGUAAAGGGCGCGUAGGUGGUUAUGUAAGUGAGAUGUGAAAUCCCCGGGCUCAACCUGGGAACUGCAUCUUAUACUGCGUAGCUGGAGUGCAGUAGAGGGUAGUGGAAUUUCCGGUGUAGCGGUGAAAUGCGUAGAUAUCGGAAGGAACACCAGUGGCGAAGGCGGCUACCUGGACUGACACUGACACUGAGGCGCGAAAGCGUGGGGAGCAAACAGGAUUAGAUACCCGCGUAGUCCCUGUCUCUUAUAC